AAACUAUUAUUAUUAAAACCAGACAAAACAACUAAUUAACUAAAACUAAUGGUUUAAGUAAACUAAUUUAAAAUCAAACGUCUCUCCUUUGGCAGGUCGUAGUUCCACAUCGUUUUAUUGUCAGCUUUUUGAGGCAUUUUCAUUAAAUAUGGAGACUUUUUUAAUUUGAGAGAUUUGUCUAUAUAUAUACAUUAGUUUAAACACAACAUGUAAGAAACUGACAAAACUAAGUUGUGACACAUAAAAAGGUGAUUACUUUUUUUUAAAUUCAGAAUUUAAAAGGCGGUUAAAAUGUGUUGAAUUGACUUGUUGUACAGAGUUACACCACAGGGUGGCGGUGCUGCUGCUUGUCCAGUCCUCACAGACACACGAAGAAGGGCACAGAGUAAAGAUUCUCCAUCUUAUUUUAGUUACUUCCAGGUUAUUAACACCCACUAACCACAUGAUUCCCAUAAAGUCUUUAUCGUCUAUCAUUUAUUAUCCUAUCAAACAGUUUUAUGUGGACAAUGAUUUGAGAGCGAAAUAACUGUUCUACUGGGUUAGCACUUCGGCACUAGCAUGCUAGUAGCCCCACUAGUUUAGCAGCUAACUGCUAAACUUAGCAGUGAUUCUAUUGACCUGAUAGCUCAGGGGUCAUAAAAUAAUGUAUUUCUGCCAGAAAUGAAGACAUUCAGAGGAAAAAUAUCUGUUUACUAUGUUAGAAGUUAGCAUUAUAUAUAUCCAUCCAUCUUCUAUAUACCCUUGUCCCUUAGUGGGGUCAGGAGGGUUGCUGGUGCCUCUCCAG
Long non-coding RNA from Poecilia latipinna (sailfin molly), 784 nucleotides. RefSeq lists it as uncharacterized. The transcript is spliced from 4 exons. The record is from RefSeq and is a predicted model, not a curated record. Lineage: Eukaryota; Metazoa; Chordata; Actinopteri; Cyprinodontiformes; Poeciliidae.